Molecule: long non-coding RNA, 1163 nt
Organism: Nasonia vitripennis (jewel wasp)
Lineage: Eukaryota; Metazoa; Arthropoda; Insecta; Hymenoptera; Pteromalidae
Exons: 2
Source: RefSeq, a predicted model, not a curated record
GCGACUCUACCUUUACAAAACAUCUACUACAUAAUGAUCUUUUAACCUCAAAAAGUAAACUUUCUGAAUUAGUUAUGUACAAUAAAUGAAAGAGAAAUUGAAAAAUUCGUUAUAAGUGGAUCGACUAACGUGAAAUACCAUUUGUUGAUAAGUUUUAUUUUGGAAAUUUAGGAACGUAUGAAAGACGGUUUGUUCUUGUGUGCGACUUGAUUAGAAAAAUACGCCGCGAUCAAGGAAACGUGCAUUUUAUUGCAGCGAGUCUCUCGGAUAUGCAGAUAAUCUUCGCGCGAGGCUUAUUUGCAAAAUACUUAGUAAGUUUAUAACGGAUAACGUCUGCUUUGUACGUUAUACUGAGCGUAAUCGUUAUAAUUAUUUUAUAGCAAACUUUAUUAUCGAUUUUGAGGUUAUUGGGCUAUAAAAUAUCGUAUGAGACUGUCGAUACUCGCUUCGCUCGUGCGAAAAACCAUCUCCCACAACAGUGUCAUAAUACUAUGUAAUAAUCUUAUCGAUAAUGAUUUAACAUACAAUCUAUAUAGAUAUACUACCAAUAACUUCUGGAAAAACGAGGGCUUUUAUGACUCUGCGAAAAAUUACAGGACCUAGUUGUCGGUACAAUUUUUGCGCCAAAGUGAGCUGGACAGAAUUUAUCAGGGAAAAUUAGAAUACUUAAAAUAUACUUUCCAGAUAUGUCAAAUAUUUUGGGCUAGAUCAGAUCGAUCGUUUAUUGUUUAUUUUGGCCGAGGCUAGAGCUCGAUAGGAAAGCAUACUUUGAAGUAUCUUCUUCUCCAGGAUCCCGUUGACGCACGAUUGUACCGACAAGCAUGUCCUGUAAUUUUUCGAGAGUCAUAAAAGCCCUCGUUUUUCCAGGAGUUGGUGUGGUGGACCCUUAACAUCAAAAUAUCAUCAUCUUUUUUAAUACUUAUACUAUAAUGAAGCAUUUGCAUUAAAUUCUACGUAUAUUGAAAUUUGACUAUUUUAUUUAGGUCAUGAAGUUUUUUGUAUGCGUUACAAAAAUAAAAACGCAUAAUAUGAUGUCUCGUUUGAAAAUAUAUUUUAUUAUUUCAUCGCGUCAUCGAGAUACACUUUUUUAUAUGACUGAAUAAGAAUAAAAGUCAGUUCUUGCACAGAUAGAACGCCCCAACGGCCAAGAACGUCAGCUUGAG